AGGACGAACGCUGGCGGCGUGCCUAAUACAUGCAAGUCGAACGAGACUUUCCUUGGUGGUAACACCUUUGAUUGUCUAGUGGCGAACGGGUGAGUAACACGUGAGAAACCUGCCCUGAAGACGGGGAUAACAGGAGGAAACUUCUGCUAAUACCCGAUACCCCCACCGGAUCGCAUGGUCUGGUGAGGAAAUGGAUUCCGCUUCAGGAGGGUCUCGCGGCCUAUCAGCUUGUUGGUGAGGUACGGCUUACAAGGCUUGGACGGGUAGCUGGUCUGAGGAGGACGAUCAGCCACACGUGGGACUGAGACACGGCCCAGACUCCGUAGGGAGCAGCAAGUAAGGAAU
Molecule: ribosomal RNA, 345 nt
Filed under: uncultured soil bacterium
Lineage: Bacteria
Description: bacterial SSU rRNA
Rfam family: Bacterial small subunit ribosomal RNA
Source: RNAcentral